Molecule: transfer RNA, 58 nt
Filed under: Rattus norvegicus (Norway rat)
Lineage: Eukaryota; Metazoa; Chordata; Mammalia; Rodentia; Muridae
Source: Rfam by way of RNAcentral
UGGCUCAGCGGUUAAGAGCACUGAAUGCCCUUCCAGAGGUCCUGGGUUCAAUUCCCAG